AUACGAAGGGGGCUAGCGUUGUUCGGAAUUACUGGGCGUAAAGCGCGCGUAGGCGGACUGAUCAGUUGGGGGUGAAAUCCCAGGGCUUAACCCUGGAACUGCAUUUGAAACUGGGAGUCUAGGGACCAGGAGAGGUGAGUGGAACUCCUAGUGUAGAGGUGGAAUUCGUAGAUAUUAGGAAGAACACCAGUGGCGAAGGCGGCUCACUGGCUCGGAACUGACGCUGAGAUGCGAAAGCGUGGGGAGCGAACAGGAUUAGAAACCCUAGUAGUCC
RNAcentral lists this ribosomal RNA (274 nucleotides) under uncultured bacterium. RNAcentral's name for it is "partial 16S ribosomal RNA". It matches the Rfam family "Bacterial small subunit ribosomal RNA", at positions 523 to 796 of the family's 1533-position model. The record is from RNAcentral.